UGGGGGACAACGUUUCGAAAGGAACGCUAAUACCGCAUACGUCCUACGGGAGAAAGCAGGGGACCUUCGGGCCUUGCGCUAUCAGAUGAGCCUAGGUCGGAUUAGCUAGUUGGUGAGGUAAUGGCUCACCAAGGCGACGAUCCGUAACUGGUCUGAGAGGAUGAUCAGUCACACUGGAACUGAGACACGGUCCAGACUCCUACGGGAGGCAGCAGUGGGGAAUAUUGGACAAUGGGCGAAAGCCUGAUCCAGCCAUGCCGCGUGUGUGAAGAAGGUCUUCGGAUUGUAAAGCACUUUAAGUUGGGAGGAAGGGCAGUUUCCUAAUACGAAAUUGUUUUGACGUUACCGACAGAAUAAGCACCGGCUAACUCUGUGCCAGCAGCCGCGGUAAUACAGAGGGUGCAAGCGUUAAUCGGAAUUACUGGGCGUAAAGCGCGCGUAGGUGGUUUGUUAAGUUGAAUGUGAAAUCCCCGGGCUCAACCUGGGAACUGCAUCCAAAACUGGCAAGCUAGAGUAGGGCAGAGGGUGGUGGAAUUUCCUGUGUAGCGGUGAAAUGCGUA
RNAcentral lists this ribosomal RNA (560 nucleotides) under Pseudomonas rhizosphaerae. RNAcentral describes it as "bacterial SSU rRNA". It matches the Rfam family "Bacterial small subunit ribosomal RNA", at positions 137 to 692 of the family's 1533-position model. RNAcentral also lists the same sequence under 4 other names. The record is from RNAcentral. Lineage: Bacteria; Pseudomonadati; Pseudomonadota; Gammaproteobacteria; Pseudomonadales; Pseudomonadaceae.